GGGAGGCAGCAGUGGGGAAUGUUGCACAAUGGGCGAAAGCCUGAUGCAGCAACGCCGCGUGCGCGAUGAAGGCCUUCGGGUCGUAAAGCGCUUUUCGGGGAGAUGAGGAAGGACAGUAUCCCCGGAAUAAGUCUCGGCUAACUACGUGCCAGCAGCCGCGGUAAAACGUAGGAGGCAAGCGUUAUCCGAAUUUACUGGGCGUAAAGCGUGUGCAGGCGGUUCGGUAAGUUGGAUGUGAAAUCUCCUGGCUCAACUGGGAGAGGUCGUUCAAUACUGUCGGACUAGAGGGCGGUAGAGGGAGGUGGAAUUCCGGGUGUAGUGGUGAAAUGCGUAGAUAUCCCGAGGAACACCUGUGGCGAAAGCGGCCUCCUGGACCGUACCUGACGCUCAUACACGAAAGCUAGGGGAGCGAACGGGAUUAGAUACCCCGGU
RNAcentral lists this ribosomal RNA (432 nucleotides) under uncultured bacterium. Its description in RNAcentral is "bacterial SSU rRNA". It matches the Rfam family "Bacterial small subunit ribosomal RNA", at positions 343 to 791 of the family's 1533-position model. The record is from RNAcentral.